GCGAGCGUUAAUCGGAAUUACUGGGCGUAAAGCGUGCGCAGGCGGUUUGCUAAGACCGAUGUGAAAUCCCCGGGCUCAACCUGGGAACUGCAUUGGUGACUGGCAGGCUAGAGUAUGGCAGAGGGGGGUAGAAUUCCACGUGUAGCAGUGAAAUGCGUAGAGAUGUGGAGGAAUACCGAUGGCGAAGGCAGCCCCCUGGGCCAAUACUGACGCUCAUGCACGAAAGCGUGGGGAGCAAACAGGAUUAGAUACCCUGGUAGUCCACGCCCUAAACGAUGUCAACUAGUUGUUGG
This 293-nucleotide ribosomal RNA is filed under the name Burkholderia contaminans. RNAcentral's name for it is "partial 16S ribosomal RNA". It matches the Rfam family "Bacterial small subunit ribosomal RNA", at positions 534 to 826 of the family's 1533-position model. The record is from RNAcentral. Lineage: Bacteria; Pseudomonadati; Pseudomonadota; Betaproteobacteria; Burkholderiales; Burkholderiaceae.